Molecule: ribosomal RNA, 1084 nt
Filed under: Enterobacter sp.
Lineage: Bacteria; Pseudomonadati; Pseudomonadota; Gammaproteobacteria; Enterobacterales; Enterobacteriaceae
Description: bacterial SSU rRNA
Rfam family: Bacterial small subunit ribosomal RNA
Source: RNAcentral
GAUGUAAUGAAAGGAAAGGCCCUUUCCGGGUUGUAAAGUACUCUUCAAGCGAGGAAGGAAAGGGCGGUGAAGGUUAAUAACCUCAUCGAAUGACGUUAACCCGCAGAAGAAAGCACCCGGCUAACUCCCGUGCCAGCAGCCGCGGGUAAAUACGGAGGGUGCAAAGCGUUAAUCGGAAAUUACUGGGCGUAAAAGCGCACGCAGGGCGGUCUGUCAAGUCGGGAUGUGAAAAUCCCCGGGCCUCAACCCUGGGAACUGCAUUCGAAACUGGCAGGCUAGAGUCUUGUAGAGGGGGGUAGAAUUCCAGGUGUAGCGGUGAAAUGCGUAGAGAUCUGGAGGAAAUACCGGUGGCGAAAGGCGGCCCCCCUGGACAAAGACUGACGCUCAGGUGCGAAAGCGUGGGGAGCAAAACAGGAUUAGAUACCCUGGUAGUCCACGCCGUAAACGAUGUCGACUUGGAGGUUGUGCCCUUGAGGCGUGGCUUCCGGAGCUAACGCGUUAAGUCGACCGCCUGGGGAGUACGGCCGCAAGGUUAAAACUCAAAUGAAUUGACGGGGGCCCGCACAAGCGGUGGAGCAUGUGGUUUAAUUCGAUGCAACGCGAAGAACCUUACUUACUCUUGACAUCCAGAGAACUUAGCAGAGAUGGUUUGGUGCCUUCGGGAACUCUGAGACAGGUGCUGCAUGGCUGUCGUCAGCUCGUGUUGUGAAAUGUUGGGUUAAGUCCCGCAACGAGCGCAACCCUUAUCCUUUGUUGCCAGCGGUUAGGCCGGGAACUCAAAGGAGACUGCCAGUGAUAAACUGGAGGAAGGUGGGGAUGACGUCAAGUCAUCAUGGCCCUUACGAGUAGGGCUACACACGUGCUACAAUGGCGCAUACAAAGAGAAGCGACCUCGCGAGAGCAAGCGGACCUCAUAAAGUGCGUCGUAGUCCGGAUUGGAGUCUGCAACUCGACUCCAUGAAGUCGGAAUCGCUAGUAAUCGUGGAUCAGAAUGCCACGGUGAAUACGUUCCCGGGCCUUGUACACACCGCCCGUCACACCAUGGGAGUGGGUUGCAAAAGAAGUAGGUAGCUUAACCUUCGGG